AACGAACGCUGGCGGCGCGCCUAAUACAUGCAAGUCGAGCGAGAAGACGUAGCAAUACGUUUGUAAAGCGGCGAACGGGUGAGGAAUACAUGGGUAACCUACCCUAGAGUGGGGAAUAACUAGCCGAAAGGUUAGCUAAUACCGCGUACGCUCCUUGGACUUCGGUACAGGGAGGAAAGCGAUACCGUGGGUAUCGCGCUCUUGGAUGGGCUCAUGUCCUAUCAGCUUGUUGGUGAGGUAACGGCUCACCAAGGCUUCGACGGGUAGCUGGUCUGAGAGGACGAUCAGCCACACUGGCACUGCGACACGGGCCAGACUCCUACGGGAGGCAGCAGUAAGGAAUAUUGCGCAAUGGGCGAAAGCCUGACGCAGCAACGCCGCGUGCGGGAUGACGGCCUGGUGUAA
RNAcentral lists this ribosomal RNA (405 nucleotides) under uncultured bacterium. RNAcentral describes it as "bacterial SSU rRNA". It matches the Rfam family "Bacterial small subunit ribosomal RNA", at positions 29 to 428 of the family's 1533-position model. The record is from RNAcentral.